Molecule: ribosomal RNA, 252 nt
Filed under: uncultured bacterium
Lineage: Bacteria
Description: partial 16S ribosomal RNA
Rfam family: Bacterial small subunit ribosomal RNA
Source: RNAcentral
UACAGAGGUGGCAAGCGUUGUUCGGAAUUACUGGGCGUAAAGGGCGCGUAGGCGGCCAUCUAAGUCAGACGUGAAAUCCCCCGGCUUAACCUGGGAACUGCGUCUGAUACUGGACGGCUUGAGUAUGGGAGAGGGAUGUAGAAUUCCAGGUGUAGCGGUGAAAUGCGUAGAUAUCUGGAGGAAUACCGGUGGCGAAGGCGGCAUCCUGGACCAUUACUGACGCUGAGGCGCGAAAGCUAGGGGAGCAACGGG